RNAcentral lists this long non-coding RNA (4798 nucleotides) under Arabidopsis lyrata. Its description in RNAcentral is "long non-coding RNA (ALYR_LNC002262)". The record is from RNAcentral. Lineage: Eukaryota; Viridiplantae; Streptophyta; Magnoliopsida; Brassicales; Brassicaceae.
GAUGUACAGUCUUCUUCUCUUUCCUUUCUAUCGAUCAAUCAAUCAAAUCAUUGUUGAUCUUCUUUUUGGUAUCUAGUUACACACAGGAAGCAAUUCAAUUAAGCGCGAAGCUUCUAGCAAUCAAUCCGGAGGCCUACACGGCUUGGAACUAUCGGAAGCUCGCCGUCGAGGAUAACCUUUCCCGAAUCGACGACUCUGAUCCAAGCUUGGUCAACUCAAUUCUCAAUGAAGAACUUGAAGUCGUGAGUGCUUGGUUUAAUAUAUAGAACUCAAUUCUCAAUUCACUCAUUCGUUGAUGUGUUAGAUUGGUUGCUUCACAUCCCAUUCAUGUCAAUUUUGCUCAUCGAUUGCCUUUUCUUGUUGAUUCAGGUAGCAAUUGCCCUUCGACGAAAUAUCAAGUCCUAUGGGGCUUGGUAUCAUCGAAAGUGGAUUUUGAAUAAAUAUCAAAAGCUCGAUCUCAGGAACUUUCACGCUUGGAACUAUCGCAGGUGAGAGAUUCAGGGAAUUGCUUCACAUUGUCAAUCAGCUUUUGCAUAUAUCAUAUCUUGUCUUGUUCCUUUUUCCAGGUUUGUUGUGGAGCUAACCAAGACGUCACCACAGGAUGAGUUGCAGUAUACAACUGAUUUAAUCAAUGAUGUUAGUUUUAGCAACUAUUCUGCGUGGCACAAUCGUAGGUAUGCAUAUUUAAAUUAAUGGAGGCAUUUGUGGGCUAGAUUGAUGGUCAGAGAGAUAUAUAAUUUGCUUAUCAACUAUACUUUCUUUUUUGUUUGGUUGAUACUACCAGUAUACCACCAUAUUUGAUGGAAUAUUAGCACAACUAUAGCUUCUUGAUCUAGUAAGCAAAGAAUUUUUUAUCCACAGUGGCUCUAUUAUUAGCUGAAAAUAUGAUCCGUUAAUUCUGCAGUGCACUUCUUUCAAGUUUAGUCGCAAAAAAGGCUGAUGGGUUUAUGCCAAAGGAAACGAUUCGUCGUGAAUUAGAUUAUGUACAUAAUGCUAUUUUUACGGACGAAGAUGACCAAAGCGCCUGGUUUUAUUAUCUCUGGCUUCUUGAUCAAACUGUUAAAAUGGAGACUCCUCUUCGCACUUCCUCGUGGCCUUCUGAUGGUUCCAUUAUCAUUCUAUCUGGACCUGGGUGCUUCAAUGGCUCUUCUUCUUCUAAGUUCACUACUUUCUGUUCCGAGUCUGCUUCUUUUCCACUGAUUCUUUACUUUGACCAAGCCGUCAGUGGAGUAAGCUCGUCUACUGUUACUAUUGAUUCUGAACUACAAGGAAAUCAGGACCUUGUUUGGGAACCAGUUUCGGAUAAAAACUCUCAACUGUCUUGUGUAUGGGUUGCUCGUCUGAAAUUUGACAGUACUGAACCUUGCUUUCGCAAGGAAAACAAAGUGAAGGUCAGCCUUGGGAAGUCUCAAGGAAUUGUUUCUUCCAGGGGAUGUAACUUGAGCGCUCCUUUUGAGUUUGUAUUUACAGUGCAUAUUCAUGACACUGUCGGAGAGCCACAAGAAGGCAUUGUUUCGUGGACGGAUGGUUUUGACAAUUGGGAUGCACAGUCGAAGGAUUUGAAUUCUCUUAUCACCUCGUAUCAGUUAAACGCUGAUACAGGUUUUGAGUGGCGUAAGCAAGCUAUAAAGACAGAGAUUGAAUGUUUUCGUGAUUUGCAUGACAGGUAUAAAUAAUCCUGUAAACUUUCUAGAUUUAAUGGAAAAGAGAAAUUGUAGUCUUGACCUUCUGAGUUCUUCUUUCCUUUUUUGUAGCAAAUUUGGAAAGCUCAUUCUUGCAAGGCUUUUGAUGGCUGAGGAAACUAUGAUCUCGGAUGAUGCUGUUAAGGGUGUCCAUUAUGUUGAAAUCCUCCAGCUGUAUAACGAUCUGAUGGUUCUUAAUUCUUCGCAUUACCAGUACUACAAGGAUGAGCACAGCGUAGCUCUUCUCCACAAGGUACUUAGUCUUCCUUUUAGCUGUGAAUCUCAAAGUUGUAUGAGUCAUAAAGAGAAUGUUGAUGCACAGGUGACUUCAAGCACCGAAUCCCUGUCCAGACACCUCUUUCUGUACAGGAAUAUGAACAAUAUUGUAUGUCUAAGGCUCAGUAACUUAACAUUAUCUCGGAUAGCCACUGUCGAGAAGUUUCUAUUUGUCCAAAUGUUAGAUCUCAGUUACAAUGACCUUCAUUCCGCUGAAGGUAUGUAGUGUUUUCUAACGCUUUGAUUGAGUCUUGAAUAUCAGUUUUUGCAUAUGUGUGAUAUAAUAUGGGUCUGUAGGAUUGGAGGCGAUGCAGCUUCUCUGUUGCCUAAAUCUGUGUCACAACAGAAUCAGGAGCUUUUCAGCCCUUGAUUCUCUAAGACAUCUGAAGCAGCUUAGAGUGUUGGAUGUUUCACAUAACGACAUGGGCGGCAAGCACCCAGUGGACACAACAGGGUACCUUUGUUCUAGGCCGCUCUCUAAUUCGGCUGAAAUUGGAAGACAGGUGCCUUGUAAAUACUGGGAUGCGUAUUUGGUGCUUAGAGAUUUGAAGAAACUGAAGCAGUUAGAUAUAAUAAGAGGCAACGACCUAAUUGCAGGGGAAGAGUUCAGCUCCUUUGUCCGCCAGGUUCUUCCAAAGCUUGUAUGGCUUGAUGGCCACAAACUCGCUAGUUAAAAUAUAAAUGUUAGGCCACUUCCUUUUUUUUCUUUUUAAUCUAUUGUUUUUUGGUUCAGUUUGAUGAUCUUAAAUAAGAAAACCAAGUCAAGUCUAUAAAAAGAUAAUUUUAAAAAUUAAUCAAUAAUUACUAGUUUUCUGAGUAAUUUAAAAAAUCCUAGAAUCACAAACACGCUUGUGCUCCUCCAGGAAGGGAGAAGGCUUGAUUAGUUACGUCUUCAACAACACGCUUGAGUUCAGCUUUCGCUGUCUUAACAGAUUUUUCGGUAGGCCCUUCAACGAACAAAUAGAGCUUGCGUUCCCCAGGUCCCGUGAUACGUCCUGCCUCAUAAAACUUACCUCUUCGUAAUGGAAGCUCUACUCUACUCUCAUAUUGGUUCAAGCGUUUCUUUGUGGGUAACUUUCCACUGAGCAUUCUGUGGGAAAUCAUUGAUUUCCAACUCUGCUUCAUAGUAUUGAGCUUGAAUCUUUGCAAGGUAGUGUUGCACGUUAGCACUUAGCAGCAGCAACAACAAUGGCUGCAACGCGGCCUGCUCCAUCAGUAGGAGGGACCACCUGGCUCGGUGGCUAGCCCGACAGCAUUUGGCAGCAAUUGGUUAGCAGUCACAGGAGCUUUUGCAGGAGCAGCAAUGGCGGCUAUCUGAGCAAGAGUAAUCUGCUGCUGUGAGAUAUCACCACCAGCCUUUGUUACUACAUCAUUCUCAUCUUCUGAGUCAGACUUCUCUUCCUCAAAGCCAUACUCCUUUGCUUGUGCUUUCUUUGCAGCUUUCCUAACUUCAUCCUCCUCUUCGUUGAAUUUAAAGCCACUGCCACCAUAGCCAGUUCCAUGAGCAUGCUCAAUACCCUGUUUUACUUUCGCCAGGAACUGGCUCCUCAGAUAGUUCCAGGGCCUUGACUAAAUCUGGUGCAUAUUUUGCAUCAUCCUCAGAGAGAAAUGUUACAGCACAGCCUUUCCGUCCUGCCCUACCUGUCCUGCCAACACGAUGCACAUAGUCUUCAUAGUGGUUUGGUGCAUCGAAGUUUACAACCAACUCAAGCUCUUUCACAUCUAGGCACCUCGCUGCAACACUUGUGGCAAUCAACAAAUUGCAGACAUUGUUCUUUUUUUUUUUUUUUUUGUCAAUCAUGCAGACAUUGUUCUUAAAAUCAGAUAUAGCUGAUUCACGAUCAGUCUGUUCCUUACCCCCGUGAAGAGAUAGACAGGCGUAGCCACAUUUGGUCAUCAAAUCAUUUCCUCUUCAUCCAUUCUCAGAGACAGUAACAGCUGUCUCAUUCUCCGAGUCGAUCAUCUUGGCAUCUCCACCAUUUUCGAGUUUAGUAUCACCAUUAACAUCCACGUCUGAGUCUGAUUUAUCUUCAUCAUCAGAUUCACCUUCAAGAGUCCAAGCCUUAAAGGCCUCAGGGCCCUUACUUUCAAUUUGAGCUUCCUCCUUUUCUUGCACAAAAGUCAUUUGCACAAAAGUCAUUUGCACAAAAGUCAUUUUCCAAAUUCACCACACUCUGUUCCUUCCGGUCUACUAAACGAGAGGCAAUUCCAAAAACCCGAAUCGUAAUUUUCAAUUGAACCGGUAUCGUAAUUUUCAAUUGAGCUAGGUUUACUAGGACCGGUUCCUUAAUCAUAUAUAUAUAUACACAGUAGUUGUUCUUAGGUUUCCCGUGAACUUGUGAAAACCCAAAUCCAAAUCCAAAUUGGAGAAGAAGAAUGCACGGUCGUCCGAGGAAGGCGGCUUCGAAGCCAGAAGCCUCGGCUGCUAAAGCCUUAAAGCUCCGGUCGGUCCAGUCCCAGUUCAUGUCCAAUCACCAUCGAAAGAUGUACAGUCUUCUUCUCUUUCCUUUCUAUCGAUCAAUCAAUCAAAUCAUUUGUUGAUCUUCUUUUUGGUAUCUAGUUACACACAGGAAGCAAUUCAAUUAAGCGCGAAGCUUCUAGCAAUCAAUCCGGAGGCCUACACGGCUUGGAACUAUCGGAAGCUCGCCGUCGAGGAUAACCUUUCCCGAAUCGACGACUCUGAUCCAAGCUUGGUCAACUCAAUUCUCAAUGAAGAACUUGAAGUCGUGAGUGCUUGGUUUAAUAUAUAGAACUCAAUUCUCAAUUCACUCAUUGGUUGAUGUGUUAGAUUGGUUGCUUCACAUCCCAUUCAUGUCAAUCGAUUGCCUUUUCGUGUUGAU